GACGUAGGGGCCGAGCGUUGUCCGGAGUUACUGGGCGUAAAGGGCGCGCAGGCGGUUGGUCACAUCGGCGGUGAAAGCCCCCCGCUCAACGGGGGAGGGUCCGUCGAGAUGGGCCGACUGGAGGCAGGGAGAGGGCGGUGGAAUUCCGGGUGUAGUGGUGAAAUGCGUAGAGAUCCGGAGGAACACCAAAGGCGAAGGCAGUGUCCUGGGGAGUACCUGACGCUCAGGUGCGAAAGCCAGGGGAGCGGAACGGG
This 254-nucleotide ribosomal RNA is filed under the name uncultured bacterium. RNAcentral describes it as "partial 16S ribosomal RNA". It matches the Rfam family "Bacterial small subunit ribosomal RNA", at positions 524 to 776 of the family's 1533-position model. The record is from RNAcentral.